This 858-nucleotide ribosomal RNA is filed under the name uncultured bacterium. Its description in RNAcentral is "bacterial SSU rRNA". It matches the Rfam family "Bacterial small subunit ribosomal RNA", at positions 60 to 914 of the family's 1533-position model. The record is from RNAcentral.
AGUCGAACGGCAGCGCGGGGCAACCUGGCGGCGAGUGGCGAACGGGUGAGUAAUAUAUCGGAACGUACCCAAGAGUGGGGGAUAACGUAGCGAAAGUUACGCUAAUACCGCAUACGAUCUAUGGAUGAAAGUGGGGGAUUCGCAAGAACCUCAUGCUCCUGGAGCGGCCGAUAUCUGAUUAGCUAGUUGGUGAGGUAAAGGCUCACCAAGGCGACGAUCAGUAGCUGGUCUGAGAGGACGACCAGCCACACUGGAACUGAGACACGGUCCAGACUCCUACGGGAGGCAGCAGUGGGGAAUUUUGGACAAUGGGCGCAAGCCUGAUCCAGCAAUGCCGCGUGAGUGAAGAAGGCCUUCGGGUUGUAAAGCUCUUUUGUCAGGGAAGAAACGGCUGGGGAUAAUACCCUCGGCUAAUGACGGUACCUGAAGAAUAAGCACCGGCUAACUACGUGCCAGCAGCCGCGGUAAUACGUAGGGUGCAAGCGUUAAUCGGAAUUACUGGGCGUAAAGCGUGCGCAGGCGGUUUUGUAAGUCUGUCGUGAAAGCCCCGGGCUCAACCUGGGAAUUGCGAUGGAGACUGCAAGGCUUGAAUCUGGCAGAGGGGGGUAGAAUUCCACGUGUAGCAGUGAAAUGCGUAGAGAUGUGGAGGAACACCGAUGGCGAAGGCAGCCCCCUGGGUCAAGAUUGACGCUCAUGCACGAAAGCGUGGGGAGCAAACAGGAUUAGAUACCCUGGUAGUCCACGCCCUAAACGAUGUCUACUAGUUGUCGGGUCUUAAUUGACUUGGUAACGCAGCUAACGCGUGAAGUAGACCGCCUGGGGAGUACGGUCGCAAGAUUAAAACUCAAAGGAAUUGAC